RNAcentral lists this ribosomal RNA (352 nucleotides) under uncultured bacterium. RNAcentral's name for it is "bacterial SSU rRNA". It matches the Rfam family "Bacterial small subunit ribosomal RNA", at positions 917 to 1267 of the family's 1533-position model. The record is from RNAcentral.
GGACCCGCACAAGCAGUGGAGCAUGUGGUUUAAUUCGACGCAACGCGAAGAACCUUACCAGCGUUUGACAUGAGAAGUGCCGGUUACAGAAUGGUAACCUUCAGUUCGGCUGGCUUCUACACAGGUGCUGCAUGGCUGUCGUCAGCUCGUGUCGUGAGAUGUUGGUUAAGUCCCGCAACGAGCGCAACCCUUAUCGUUAGUUACUAACAGUUCGGCUGAGGACUCUAGCGAAACUGCCGGUGAUAAGCCGGAGGAAGGUGGGGAUGACGUCAAGUCCUCAUGGCCCUUACACGCUGGGCUACACACGUGCUACAAUGGCAAGUACAACGAGUCGCAAUACCGCGAGGUGGAG